RNAcentral lists this ribosomal RNA (254 nucleotides) under uncultured bacterium. RNAcentral's name for it is "partial 16S ribosomal RNA". It matches the Rfam family "Bacterial small subunit ribosomal RNA", at positions 524 to 776 of the family's 1533-position model. The record is from RNAcentral.
UACGUAGGGGGCAAGCGUUGUCCGGAAUCAUUGGGCGUAAAGAGCGUGUAGGCGGCUCGGUAAGUCCGCUGUGAAAGUCCAGGGCUCAACCCUGGAAUGCCGGUGGAAACUGUCGAGCUAGAGUCCGGAAGAGGCGAGUGGAAUUCCUGGUGUAGCGGUGAAAUGCGCAGAUAUCAGGAGGAACACCAAUGGCGAAGGCAGCUCGCUGGGACGGUACUGACGCUGAGAACGCGAAAGCGUGGGGAGCAAACAGG